GAAAUGCGAUAAGUAAUGUGAAUUGCAGAAUUCAGUGAAUCAUCGAAUCUUUGAACGCACAUUGCGCCCGCCAGUAUUCUGGCGGGCAUGCCUGUUCGAGCGUCAUUACAACCCUCAGGCCCCCGGGCCUGGCGUUGGGGAUCGGCGGAAGCCCCCUGCGGGCACAACGCCGUCCCCCAAAUACAGUGGCGGUCCCGCCGCAGCUUCCAUUGCGUAGUAGCUAACACCUCGCAACUGGAGAGCGGCGCGGCCACGCCGUAAAACACCCAACUUCUGAAUGUUGACCUCGAAUCAGGUAGGAAGACCCGCAGAACUUAAGC
RNAcentral lists this unclassified non-coding RNA (320 nucleotides) under plant metagenome. RNAcentral describes it as "partial contains 5.8S ribosomal RNA, internal transcribed spacer 2, and large subunit ribosomal RNA". The stretch from base 1 to 105 matches the Rfam family "5.8S ribosomal RNA", at positions 50 to 154 of the family's 154-position model. The record is from RNAcentral.